UACGUAGGGUGCAAGCGUUGUCCGGAAUUAUUGGGCGUAAAGAGCUUGUAGGCGGUUUGUCGCGUCUGCUGUGAAAUUUCGGGGCUCAACCCCGAACUUGCAGUGGGUACGGGCAGACUAGAGUGUGGUAGGGGAGACUGGAAUUCCUGGUGUAGCGGUGAAAUGCGCAGAUAUCAGGAGGAACACCGAUGGCGAAGGCGGCUUUCUGGGUCCGCCCUGACGCUGAGGCGCGAAAGCGUGGGUAGCAAACAGG
This 253-nucleotide ribosomal RNA is filed under the name uncultured bacterium. RNAcentral describes it as "partial 16S ribosomal RNA". It matches the Rfam family "Bacterial small subunit ribosomal RNA", at positions 524 to 776 of the family's 1533-position model. The record is from RNAcentral.